UUUAUAGGCGUCAAGUUGUCUAUAAUUAGGUAUCAUAACAAAAUAUUUGCUCUAAUACUGUGCAGUUUAUGUUUUCUUGUUUAUUUUCAAUACUUCGAAUCCCUCAUAACUUUCAAAUAUUUCUAAUAUUUAAUAUGGAUAAGGUGAUAUAACGAAGAGAGGUUUUUGGGGGCAGAUACACUUUCAAAUUAUUCUGCCAUUUUUGGAAGCUCGCUUUAUUGCACAAUUUUUCAAGUAUGAAAAAUUACAUAUUUCGAAAUUGCCCAAAGACGCAAAUCUGAGUAAACAAUCCCAUUAAAUAUCCUUCCUCAUCAAGAAACAUCUUACAACACAAUCUCCAAUGAAUAUCAGUUAAAACAUGGCAAUAAUGCAUUUAAUGUCAUUAACUUAAGCAAUCCUCAUCAUCCAAAAGAUCCUCAAGUGUCAACGAAGUGCCACUUGAGUGCUAAAUAGCCAACACAAAAACAACGCAGAGAAGAUUACUUCAAACGGAUCCGAUGUCUUCAGAAGUGAUAUCCCGACGCAUAUUCUCCGCAAGACCCGGGAACAUUUAUUUUGACAGGAUCCUAAUUUUCGUGUAAAAGUGCGUACUCUGAAACAUGACCAACUCUCGAAAUAAUUCAUCCAUAAAAUUUUCAUCGGAUUUCAAAAGAUAGGUCGCCUAAAACAGAAUCCGCCCCGGAUGUAACCUUUUACGAGAAGUGGCUGAAGUACGACGAAUGUCUUUUGAAUGUCUCUUACGCUUAAUACGCAUGUAUCUUAGGUAUUUUAUGUGAAAGACUAUUUGUCGUCUGUUGUUGGGUGUAAAAUGCCGAGAUCUAUAUGGGCAUGAUUGGUGCAUGGCAUAGAUGUGGAGUACUUCAUGAAAGUAAAUGGACAGAAAAAUAAUUUUCGACGGCACUUUUUCAAAAUGAAGAACGUUUAAGCCCAUAUACAAAAGUAGAAAAGUAGUACAAUAAUUUUCGUAAAAGAAAAUCUUAAGUCAGAGUUAUAUGGAACUUAGAACUCAUCGAUGACAUCGGUGAUCUGUAGUGAAUUGAUACUACAGAAUCGACGGCGGGUUGAAACAGCCGAAACUCUGAAGCUGAGGAAACUGAGAAUGAAGAUCCCGAAGGGUCAAAUAACCAGUCGCUGUCCUGCACAAAGUCUACACUGAAGGGGGCGAAACAUCUGGCAUCAUAUUGGACUGCCCUCGAGGAAUGGUUCAAUCAAUUGCACUUAUCGGAUUAUCUAAUUAUGACUUUUCACCUAUAUGAACUUUGAACAUAAAGUUAGUAGGCUAAAUCCGCUAGAAAAUCUGUAGGAAUCAUUUCCGCGAUGACUAUCACUGCUUCAUCUGAUGUUAUUCCGCACUGAAUGCACACUCAGUACAAUUAAACA
RNAcentral lists this long non-coding RNA (1380 nucleotides) under Hermetia illucens (black soldier fly). Its description in RNAcentral is "uncharacterized LOC119652331, transcript variant X2". The record is from RNAcentral. Lineage: Eukaryota; Metazoa; Arthropoda; Insecta; Diptera; Stratiomyidae.